AAAUGAAUAGACGGGGACUUGCACAAGCGGUGGAUCAUGUGGUUUAAUUCGACGAUAAACGAAGAACCUUACCAAGAUUAGAAACCCAGUUCAUGCUCUUGUAGAAAUACGAGAGAUACCGGGCUGGGCAGGUGUUGCAUGGCCGUCGUCAGUUCGUGGUUUGAAUUGUUCCCUUAAGUGGGGUAACGAACGAAACCCUCAUCGUGUGUUUUAUGUGUCACACGAGACUGCCCUUUUUACGGGGAGGAAGGAGAGGAUGACGCCAGGUCAGCAUGACCCUUGAUAUCUUGGGCUACACACGUGAUACAAUGGGUGGGACAACGGGUCGCGACGGAGUAAUCCUGAGCCAAUCCUUCAAACCCAUCCUCAGUUCGGAUUGAGGGCUGAAACUCGCCCUCAUGAAGUCGGAAUCGCUAGUAAUCGUGGGUCAGCUAUACCACGGUGAAUACGUUCUCAAGUCUUGUACACACCGCCCGU
RNAcentral lists this ribosomal RNA (477 nucleotides) under uncultured bacterium. RNAcentral describes it as "bacterial SSU rRNA". It matches the Rfam family "Bacterial small subunit ribosomal RNA", at positions 903 to 1397 of the family's 1533-position model. The record is from RNAcentral.